CUGGGAGGCGGAGGUUACAGUGAGCCAAGAUCACGCCAUUGCACUCCAGCCUGGGUGACAGAACGAGACUCCGUCUCCAAAAAAAAAUAAAAUAAAAUAAAAUUAAAAAAUAAAAAUGUACUGCAAUGUUAUGAUAGUAUGAGCUCAUGUUGCUAGGAAGUGUGUGUGUGUGUGUGUGUGUGUGUGUGUGUGUGUGUGUGUCUGUGUGUCUGGGUUGAAAAAAUAAAGAAUAUGUUCUAAAAUAUUACUAGUGGUUAGGUCUGAGUAGUGUUAAUUGUGGAAAUUUGGGGGAUUUUGUGUGUUUUUCUGUUCUCCAAAUUUUCUUUAUCUUGUCUUUUAUAACGAGAAAAAAAUUCUUCACAAAAAAAUAACUUAAAUAAACAUAUUUUAAGAAGAAACCUUCUCCUCGGUCUCUGGCGCCCAUAACCUUCAGGCUGAAUUAGCGUGUGCUGAGUGGUCAGAGUUCAGGGCUGGAAAGCAGGGUUUGGGUUUUGUUUGUGGUCAGUCCGAGACUAGUGAAGGCUCUCCUUAUCCCUGACAGUCUUCAGAGCCCAGGCUCCGGGGAGUGACAAGACCUUGGAGAGUUAACGAGGACAAGCUUUCCCUGAGAGAAGCAUCCGCCCCCGGGUGCACCUUGUAAAGGACCCAGGCCCAUGCCGGAGCCCACCAGCAGUUAGGCCCGGUCAGUUUCUGCUGCUUUCAACCAAAGAACCAUGUGAUUCACCAUUCAGAUUGGAGAACAGGAGAAAUAAAGGAAGAAAGGAAGCCAGCUUUUAGUGCAGGCCUGCUAUGUACAGGCAUUGGGCUAGGUACCUCCCAUUCACACUCUCAAUUUAUUCUGAUAACAGCAUUUCAAGGUAGGUUUCGUUAGGCCCAGUCUAACAGAGGAGGAAACUGAGGCUUAACAGCGUGAAGUCACUUGUCUAUCGCAUAUGGAGCUGGUGACAGAACCAGGUCCUAAGAGAAUCAAGACUGUCUCAUCACAAAGUUCACGCUCUCCCCGAUGUCUGAGACACCUUCCUUUGGCACUUUGCUGAUCUUUUAGUUGACAAAAGAGAAGCAUUGAAGGGCAUUCUAUUUUUUCACUCUGGAAGUCGGAAGAGCAGACUCAGAUCUGGCCCUGGGCACAACUGUGAGGCCGACGGGUCUCAGGAACCCUUUCUGUGACUUGUAUUUCUUCCCGCCCACCUCCGGGCACUUCCUGGAUACGUGUCCUUCUUUGCUUGCCCCACAGAAGCUUGCUCUUGGGAAAAAGCCUUCCUGAAUCAUUCCCAUCCUACUCCCUGUGACGGAGAAGGCUUAAAAUGUUUUUAUGUUCAGGGAAGCAUCAAAGAGAAAAAUUUCUAGUUUUGGGAUUGCAGGAGUCAGGAAGCAGGGCAGGGCUGUGAAGAGGACAGUUGUACCCUGAAGUCAUAGUCACAGACCUCCUCAUGUUGAUCAGGCCUGAGGGGUCAGGGCAAGAUGCCCUGAGCAGAGGAGUGAA
RNAcentral lists this long non-coding RNA (1483 nucleotides) under Macaca mulatta (Rhesus monkey). Its description in RNAcentral is "lncRNA (ENSMMUG00000049375.1)". The record is from RNAcentral. Lineage: Eukaryota; Metazoa; Chordata; Mammalia; Primates; Cercopithecidae.